This 407-nucleotide ribosomal RNA is filed under the name uncultured bacterium. Its description in RNAcentral is "partial 16S ribosomal RNA". It matches the Rfam family "Bacterial small subunit ribosomal RNA", at positions 30 to 526 of the family's 1533-position model. The record is from RNAcentral.
AUUGAACGCUGGCGGCAGGCCUAACACAUGCAAGUCGAGCGGAGCGGCGGACGGGUGAUUAAUGCCUAGGAAUCUGCCUGGUAGUGGGGGAUACCGUCCGGAAACGGGCGCUAAUACCGCAUACUAUCAGAUGAGCCUAGGUCGGAUUAGCUAGUUGGUGGGGUAAAGGCCUACCAAGGCGCAGAUCCGUAACUGGUCUGAGAGGAUGAUCGUUCACACUGGAACUGAGACACGGUCCAGACUCCUACGGGAGGCAGCAGUGGGGAAUAUUGGACAAUGGGCGAAAGCCUGAUCCAGCAAUGCCGCGUGUGUGAAGAAGGUCUUCGGAUGGUAAAGCACUUUAAGUUGGGAGGCGUUAUCAACAGAAUAAGCACCGGCUAACUUCGUGCCAGCAGCCGCGGUAAUUC